Drosophila miranda is the source of this 1526-nucleotide long non-coding RNA. RefSeq lists it as uncharacterized. The record is from RefSeq and is a predicted model, not a curated record. The transcript is spliced from 8 exons. NCBI's taxonomy places the organism in Eukaryota, Metazoa, Arthropoda, Insecta, Diptera, Drosophilidae.
UAGUUUUGCACUCCGAUAUUUACAGUUAUCUACAGAAAAUUUUAAGCAAAACGCGCAAAAAAACUCUUGUCAUUUUAGUGGAAGUUUAAUGAUUUUAAUACAUAGUUAGAGUUAAGUUCUGUUCAAAGGAAGUAUUGUUCCACUUUACUUAUCAUGGAAGUACAUUUGGAAGUGCACGUGUCUGUGGAAUCUACAGUUUUGUACAAAGGGACAGACCAGACCUUCCGGCCAUUGCAAUGUCAGUGAGACGGGACGUACACGCGACGCGGGAGACCGUGGGCAACUGCCUCCCAACUUUCCGAUUUGCACAGCCAAACUACGGGCAUGGCGAAAACACUGCGUGUGCCGCGCUGAUAAACCCCAUGCAAUCGGAAUACACCUGCUCCAGCAGCACAUCUAACUCCAACUCCACAAGCCGUUAAGCCAACGCUAACGAGAGCAGAACUUGAUGAGCGCUCAACAGUCUUCAGCCUUAUGGAUGGGAGAUGCAUGGUGUGGCAUGGCUAUGAUACUCCGAGUAUUGGAUGGGACUGGGGUACGCAAAUAGUAGUUAUAUUUUGCGGCAUGACGUAGGCCGCUUGAGGAUUGCGGUAUUGCGGAACCGAACCGUAGGGACGUGGGGAGGGAUGGCAGGUGUGAAUGAGUGCCUUUCUUCGCAUUGAUUUUCCUUUGCCUAAUAUUUAACCUACAUUUUAUGGGGCGCUACUCGAAUUUCGGUGACACACUUUGGCUCGCAGGAAGUGACUAGACCGGUGUGCUGUGUUAUGGCCAUGACGCGUGCCGGGCCCGGACCCGGGCCUGUGCCUGUGCCUGCACUUUUCCUGCAUCUCAUUACGGCUGGGGUCACACUUUAAGAACCGUUUUUAAUUGGAGUCCCCUCGAGGAAAUUGGUAUUGGUAUACGAAAAGCCGCGAAAAAUGAACAUUGGAAACGGAGAGCGAGAGCGAUAGAGCCCACGAUGGGACGUUGGCACUGACUGAAAUGGAACUGCCUCCACGGCGACGCGGCGCGAAUGGUGAUGCCAGUUCAUACACCGAACAUGUCGCAAAGGAACUUUCUGGAUUGGAUCCCAGGGUCGUCGGCAUUCGGCUAGCGCCGCGUCAUCAUGAGCCAGCCAUGACGCCCAUUCGUGCGUCGCCGAAUCAAAAGCUGGGAUAGCUUCGAGACGAAGGACCUAUGUAUCGUAAGCUUCGCCACAAACGAAGUCGUAUCCGAUUUCGACCCGCCAGACGGGGUCCUAUCAAAGUAUCCCAGCCGGACAGAAUCGUAUCCCAGCAGGACAGAAUCGCACCCCGUAGCAUCCGAGUCUAACAAGCCAUCGACAACAAGGACUUUGACUAUGGCAACCAAGCGAGGGGCUACGCGGGCUACUACACUCUAGAUAUAUAUCGUUGUUGUUAGGUUUAAGGAUAUACGCGUUCAUACAUUUAGAUAGUAGAUACAAAUUUUAUCCACUUGUUUAUUUAUUUAUACUAACGUAUCCUAUACUAAGCUAAGUUCUGAUGAAUAAAAUGAUUGAAAACUCA